GACGAACGCUGGCGGCGUGCUUAACACAUGCAAGUCGAACGGAAAGGCCCUGCUUUUGGGGGGUGCUCGAGUGGCGAACGGGUGGGUAACACGUGAGUAACCUGCCCUUGACUUUGGGAUAACUUCAGGAAACUGGGGCUAAUACCGGAUAGGAGCUCCUGCUGCAUGGUGGGGGUUGGAAAGGUGCGGCGGUUGGGGAUGGACGCGCGGGUUUUCAGCUUGUUGGGGGGGUAGUGGCUUACCAGGGCGUUGACGGGUAGCCGGUGUGAGAGGGUGACCAGCGAGCGUGGCACUGAGACACGGUGCAGACUCCUACGGGAGGCAGCGGGGGGGAAUAUUGCGGAAUGGGCGCAAGCCUGAUGCAGCCAUGCGGCGUGUAGGAGGAAGGCCUUCGGGUGGGAAAGUACUUUCAGCGGGGAGGAAGGGAGGAAAGUUAAUACCUUUGCUCAUUGACGUUACACGCAGAAGAAGCACCGGCUAACUCCGUG
Molecule: ribosomal RNA, 488 nt
Filed under: uncultured bacterium
Lineage: Bacteria
Description: partial 16S ribosomal RNA
Rfam family: Bacterial small subunit ribosomal RNA
Source: RNAcentral